This 180-nucleotide ribosomal RNA is filed under the name uncultured Actinomycetales bacterium. RNAcentral's name for it is "partial 16S ribosomal RNA". It matches the Rfam family "Bacterial small subunit ribosomal RNA", at positions 152 to 334 of the family's 1533-position model. Lineage: Bacteria; Bacillati; Actinomycetota; Actinomycetes; Actinomycetales. The record is from RNAcentral.
GGAAACUGGGUCUAAUACCGGAUAGGACCAUGCUUUAGUGUGUGUGGUGGUAAAGUUUUUUCGGUGUAGGAUGAGCCCGCGGCCUAUCAGCUUGUUGGUGGGGUAAUGGCCUACCAAGGCGGCGACGGGUAGCCGGACUGAGAGGUUGGUCGGCCACAUUGGGACUGAGAUACGGCCCAG